RNAcentral lists this ribosomal RNA (468 nucleotides) under uncultured bacterium. RNAcentral describes it as "partial 16S ribosomal RNA". It matches the Rfam family "Bacterial small subunit ribosomal RNA", at positions 28 to 507 of the family's 1533-position model. The record is from RNAcentral.
GACGAACGCUGGCGGCGUGCUUAACACAUGCAAGUCGAACGGAAAGGCCCUGCUUUUGUGGGGUGCUCGAGUGGCGAACGGGUGAGUAACACGUGAGUAACCUGCCCUUUACUUUGGGAUAACUUCAGGAAACUGGGGCUAAUACCGGAUAGGCGCUCCUGCUGCAUGGUGGGGGCUGGAAAGUUUCGGCGGUUGGGGAUGGACUCGCGGCUUAUCAGCUUGUUGGUGGGGUAGUGGCUUACCAAGGCUUUGACGGGUAGCCGGCCUGAGAGGGUGACCGGCCACAGUGGGACUGAGAUACGGACCAGACUCCUACGGGAGGCAGCAGUGGGGAAUAUUGCACAAGGGGCGGAAGCCUGAUGCAGCAACGCCGCGUGCGGGAUGACGGCCUUCGGGUUGUAGACCGCUUUCUCCUGUGACGAAGCGUGAGUGACGGUAAUGGGUAAAGAAGCACCGGCUAGCUACGUG